Molecule: ribosomal RNA, 533 nt
Filed under: uncultured bacterium
Lineage: Bacteria
Description: bacterial SSU rRNA
Rfam family: Bacterial small subunit ribosomal RNA
Source: RNAcentral
AUGUGAAAGCAUGCGACUCUUCGGAGGCGUUACACAGGUGCUGCAUGGCCGUCGUCAGCUCGUGUCGUGAGAUGUUUGGUUAAGUCCAGCAACGAGCGCAACCCCUGUUGCCAGUUACCAGCACGUGAAGGUGGGGACUCUGGCGAGACUGCCCAGAUCAACUGGGAGGAAGGUGGGGACGACGUCAGGUCAGUAUGGCCCUUAUGCCCAGGGCUGCACACGUACUACAAUGCCCAGUACAGAGGGGGCCGAAGCCGCGAGGCGGAGGAAAUCCUAAAAACUGGGCCCAGUUCGGACUGUAGGCUGCAACCCGCCUACACGAAGCCGGAAUCGCUAGUAAUGGCGCAUCAGCUACGGCGCCGUGAAUACGUUCCCGGGUCUUGUACACACCGCCCGUCACAUCAUGGAAGCCGGUCGCACCCGAAGUAUCUGAAGCCAACCGCAAGGAGGCAGGGUCCUAAGGUGAGACUGGUAACUGGGAUGAAGUCGUAACAAGGUAGCCGUAGGGGAACCUGCGGCUGGAUCACCUCCUU